This 251-nucleotide ribosomal RNA is filed under the name uncultured bacterium. RNAcentral describes it as "partial 16S ribosomal RNA". It matches the Rfam family "Bacterial small subunit ribosomal RNA", at positions 334 to 599 of the family's 1533-position model. The record is from RNAcentral.
CAUGCCUACGGGGGGCAGCAGUGGGGAAUAUUGCACAAUGGGGGAAACCCUGACGCAGCAACGCCGCGUGAAGGAAGACGGUUUUCGGAUUGUAAACCUCUUUUCUUAGUGAAGAAGCAAGUGACGGUAGCUAAGGAAUAAGCAUCGGCUAACUACGUGCCAGCAGCCGCGGUAAUACGUAGGAUGCGAGCGUUAUCCGGAAUUACUGGGAGUAAAGGGAGCGCAGGCGGGACUGCAAGUUGGGUGAGAAA